Molecule: RNA transcript, 4804 nt
Organism: Scatophagus argus
Lineage: Eukaryota; Metazoa; Chordata; Actinopteri; Scatophagidae
Gene name: zinc finger protein 664-like
Exons: 4
Source: RefSeq, a predicted model, not a curated record
UGCAGAACACAAUGAUGGAUGCAAUAAAACAGGGAACAUUAAUAAAAACAUUAAAGAUUUUUAUAUCUUAAUAAAUAAUACGUAAAAAAACACAGUGCAAGAAGAAAUAAGCAAUAAAAAACUAAUGAAGAGUCAGAAGCGGAACGUUAGCUCCCACACGUUCACUGUCGGAACCCAACAGCCUGACAUCACCGGAAGUAAACAAUACAAGCGCUAGCAGCAUUAGCCAUUUCAUGUAUUGAAUGAAGUGGAGGACGAUACCGUUAAUUUCCGCGCAGAUAAUUAUUGUGGUUAUAAUCACACAACAAUGUCUUCAGCCGAGUAUUUAAGAGCGUUUGUGAAUGAUCGACUAACUGCUGCCGCUGAAGAAAUAUUUGAAGUUUUUAAGAAAACUAUCGUCGACUACGAAGAAGAGAUCGACCGUCAGCGCAGGCUGCUGGAUAUCAUUUGGAAACCUGACAUAAAUUUACACAGGAUAGAGCUCCCACAGCAGUAUGUCUGCACAGAGGAGGAGGUUCUCAUUGAUCAGCAGCUCUGUGAUCAGGAGAACCCAGAGCUUCUACAGAUUAAAGAGGAAGAGGAGGAAGUCUGCUUCAGUCAGGAGGGAGAGCAGCUUGUACUGAAGCAGGAGGCUGAUGCCUUUUUGUUGAGUCCUACUUAUGAGGAAAGUGACCACCUGCUCUUCUUUAACAACUCUGAGAGCCGACAUGAGGAGGAAGGCGAGAGUGGAGAUUCAGGACCAACUGGAGAUACUGAGACAAAACAAGAGGGGCGACAUCACGAAAGUGAAAGUCAAAGUGAUGCAUACAACUCUAAAUCGUUAGAGCUUUUCGGCAAAAAGUCUGUCAAAUGUGAGACAUGUGGAAAAGCUUUCAAGUAUAAGUCCAAACUAAAUACACACCUGAGGAUUCACACAGGUGAGAGGCCAUAUUCUUGUGACACUUGUGGGAAAAGAUUCAGUCAGAUGUCGGUUCUGAAUGCCCAUAUAAGAAUCCACACAGGUGAGAAGCCGUAUUCUUGCAAAAUUUGUGGGGAAGAUUUCAGAUUUAGCAGCGGCUUGACGGUCCACAUGAAAACCCACACAGGUGAGAAGCCGUACCCCUGCAACAUAUGUGGGAAAAGAUUCUGUCAGACAUCAGACUUGAAAAAUCAUGCAAGAAUCCAUACAGGUGAGAAGCAGUAUUCUUGUGACACCUGUGGGAAACGUUUCGGUCAUCAAAAGGUGUUGAACUCUCAUUUAAGAAUCCACACAGGUGAGAAGCCGUAUUCCUGUAAAACCUGUGGGGAAGAUUUCAGGUUUAGCAGUGCCUUGAAAGUCCACAUGAGAAGAGCCCACACAGGUGAGAAGCCGUACCUCUGCAAGACCUGUGGUAGAAGAUUCAUUGAUAUGUCAAAACUGACGGUCCACAUUAGAACCCACACAGGUGAGAAGCCAUACCUUUGCAAGAUCUGUGGGAAAAGAUUCAUUGAAAUGUCAAGAUUGAAGCUCCACAUGAAAACCCACACGGGUGAGAGGCCGUACAUUUGCAAGAUCUGCGGGAAAACCUUCAUUGAAAUGUCAAAACUGAAAGUCCACAUGAGAAUCCACACAGGUGAGAGGCCGUUCACCUGUAAGACCUGUGGGAAAGAUUUCAGAUUUAGUGGUGACCUGACAGUCCAUACCAGAAGAGCCCACACAGGUGAGAAGCCGUACCUCUGCAAUACCUGUGGGAAAAGAUUCUUUGAUUCGUCUCAUUUGGCAAGGCACACCAGAACACAUAUGGGCAAGUAGUCUCGUACCUGCAAACGUGUGGAACAUGACGAGUUCUUCCAAUUUGUGGUCAAAACAGAAGAACUCAGAAGUGAGAAGUGGGCAAGCGUUUGCUUAAAUCACAUGCUUGAAGUCAAUUUCAAGUUUCUUGUUGUAUGCCUUCGCAAACUAGUCAAGUUGAAGUUUACAUCCAUCCACAUUCAUAAACGUAGUGAAGACUUGGAAAGAAUUUAGUAAAAGGCAGAGGACCGACGAAGAGCUUCGUUACAUCAUGACGAUCACCUGAAGCUCAGGGUCGGCAAACCGACGAUCUCGUUGUGGACUGCAGCUCUGUGGUUACUUGUGUGCCGGUUCAUUUAGAGGAACAAAGCAGAGACUGCGACCCACGAACACUCACUAGUCUUUGCUUUGUUGCUACGCGAGUAGUCGGGUACUGAAGGGUCCGACCACAUCUGUCUUCAGACUCGGCUUUCCUUUUGAUGUCAGCUACGCUCGAGUCCGGUUUCAUGACUGCGUCAAACUGGACUCGAGUUUUCUCUGGUUCCACCUUCUUCUAACGCUGAGGCAGCAUCUUGAAAGGCUGUGAUGUUAUCACACUGAAAGAAAUCUGUUCAGAUACAAUCUGUGGCUAUGGCGUCCUGUGAUGCAACCGCUGUCUCCAUGACGACACGCACACAGACUCACAAAGUGAUAGCAACACCCGCCGCGCUGCUUAAUGUGCUCACGGCUGGUUCUGAUGGAACAUGAAGAAGGUACAAAUUCUACAGGCUGAACCAGUUCACCGCCUGACCGGAUGCGAACCACAGAGACGCUGACCUUUGACUUUUUGUAUAUAAAACGUUAUUUCAUUCCGUUAGAUGUUUGUCAUGAUUAGCGUACGUUUAUGUUUAAUGUAUUUGCAUUAUGUCUAUUUGCAUUAGCUUGAUCUGUUUGUUUAUAUUUGGGUUCAGUGGUGGAUGACGUCCCACAUGGACUUGGAUUUAGUCAACAAUGAAAUAUAAUGCAUCCAUGUCAUUUAUUCAGACUGAUGUUGGUGCUCAUCGCAUCAGCUGUAAGCAAUAACAAGCCAGCUGCUCAUGCAUGCUGUUUUCUAAUGAAUUUAUUCUAAUAAAUUCCAAUAAUAAUAGUAAUUAACUUUGUUAAGUGACAAUGUAAGAUCACCAGAUUCACCCUGAAGGCUAAAGAAGAAAACUGAAUCUGUUUGUCAGGGCUGCAGGUGAUCAUGACUGAAAUCAAAAGUAAAAGUAUUCAUAGUGAAGAAUAGUUCUUUGUUAAGUUAUGACAUACAAGAGGCGUUUCAGUGUUGUUUUUGGCAGUAAAACAAAUCUGCAGAUCUAUUUGUAUCCUGUCGAGGGUCUCUGUUGGCCUGCUCAUGUGAAGGGGAGAUUUGAUCCAGUUUGAUCAUUGAAAGUGCAGCAUAUUCAACACGUACUUCUCCAACUGUGGAACAUUCAAGGACCUCACGGGCCAAAAAACACUACAGAAAUACGUUACUUGAAACCGAACGGGAUUAUUUGAACCCACAUCAAGGCAGAACCGGGAAAUGUUGGACCCAAACCUGGUCAGAAGAUGCAGAUACUCUUUACAAAGAGGGUUUGUAAAAUCCGUCGGGUUUCCUGUCGUCCUUCUCUUGCUGACUGAAGCAGUGUGGCUUCCCUCGGGUUCGGAUGGACCCGUGAACACGUCUGCUGUACUUCAGAUCAUCUUCAGAUUGCAUGUAAAGUACACGCUGAUAUUGUGGUUGAAAUGUAUGAUUAUAAUUGAAUUGUAGAAUGUGUCUCAUUAUGUUAAUUUAUGCAUCAAUGUUUGUUGAGAGACCUUCAGUUGGCAUCUUGGUGUACAGAAGUGAUGCUGCAAUGUCCAACUUUGUGAUGUUCCUGAAGAGCUCGCGUCUUGUGUCUGCUGUCUGGUGCCGUGAUGCUCUGAGCUUCUGUAGGACAAACUGUUUAAAAUGAAGAAGAGAAAAGGAAGAAAGUCUAGAAGGCCUAACAUGCUGGACCAACAAUGGGAGAAAGAACAUAGAGGAAGUAAAAAAGUACCGACGUGUUGCCUGGAAAUGCAAGAAAGAAAACAAGGACGCCAACCAGAUAUUGCAGGAUGGCUGGAUAGUCUGAGCUGCCGUUUUAGAGAAGUGACCUUCUCGUGCUGGGCCCACAGAGGGGAACCAUGUUGUUGUUUUCGUGACCAGCUGCGUCUCACAGGUCAAGGUCCAGCAAGUUCCCCUCUAAGGUCUGGCUCCAGAAGGUGGCCCGAUUUCCAGAUUCACCCUCCAAUCAGGUAAAAAUAUCACACUGUUCUUGUAUGUUCAGCUUCUUUGAAAGUAAACUCAUUUGAAUCCACGAGUCCAGUUCCUUCUGUCAAAUACUACAACAGUAUCUGAAUACUUCUACCACCACCUGUUUUUGUUUCGUGAUCUGCAAACCAACAGAACAGACAGCUUUCAGUUCAGAGAAGGCCAGUAGUUUAGAAGUGCAUCAGACUUCUUUGUGGGACUGUUGGUUAGACUUUCGUGUAACAAAACGUUUUAAGAAAAUCAGCCUUACGAGGUUUCCACGUGACACAGCAGUAUUUAAUAAUGAAAUAAAAACUCAAUUGAAAGGUUUUUUCAUGACCACAGAUGACAAGUUUACAUUUUGCAGAAAAAGAAAAUCCUAUAAAAUCAUUUUUUAGAAUAGAAAAAGAUGAUGCAAUUCUCCGCGUUGCCAUGGUGACAUCCGUGUUCGUAAGGAGAUCAGGUGAUGCCCGUCAACCAAUCAUACUUGUCCCACUUCACCUGUUGUGGUACACAGGUUUAAAGUUCAUGAAACCAGAGGCCCUGAGUUUUAUCUCUCAGGCUGCCCUGAUUACGUUUGGAGGAGUUUCUGCCUUAAAGACCAAACAUAGGACAAUAAAAUCCCUCAAAUCAUUUUCAUCAUUUUCCAAACUCGUGGUUGGACACUGAUGAGACAUUUGAAUCACAGGUUACCCUUUAAAGGAUCAGUCUGGUGUUAUUUUAUAAGUAGUUAAAACAAAUUCCACAUGCAGAGUCAGAGCAGGAAGAAGUAUCCAGAUCCA